AGCCCGCGGGCGCGGCCUAACUGCUCGCCCGCCCGCCCGCUGCUCGCCCCCCGGCGCCCGAGGGUCGCAGUACCUGGGCGGCGGCCUCCAGCUUGCCCUCGAAGGAAAUAGCCAGUUGAAGGGAUGAUCUGAAAACAGUUUUCCCCGAGAAACAUUUAGUUAUCCAAGGUCGCUCCAACCAGUGAAAUCUAGACCUUUUAGGAGAGUGGUUUCAAAGAUUAGAAAGACCGGAUCCCACGAUUGCAUGUUUAAAACAAGAUGCUUCAUUGCUGGGCACGGAGGCUGAGGCAGGAGGAUCAUCAUGGGCCAGCCUGGACUACAGAGGUUUCACUCUAUAGCUAUGCUGGCCUCAAAAUCACUAUAUAGAGCAGCCUGGCACGGAGCCUUCAGCAGUUUUCCUGCCUCAGCCUUACAGGCAGGAGCAGCCCCACCACCAGU
Mus caroli (Ryukyu mouse) is the source of this 438-nucleotide non-coding RNA. The record is from RefSeq and is a predicted model, not a curated record. Lineage: Eukaryota; Metazoa; Chordata; Mammalia; Rodentia; Muridae.